ACGAACGCUGGCGGCGUGCUUAACACCUGCAAGUCGAACGGUGAAGCGCCUUCCUUUUUGGUGGGUGUGGAUGAGUGGCGAACGGGUGAGUAACACGUGAGUAACCUGCCCCCUUCUUCUGGAUAACCGCAUGAAAGUGUGGCUAAUACGGGAUAUUCUGGGUCUGUCGCAUGAUGGGUCUGGGAAAGAUAUUGUUUCGGUGGGGGAUGGGCUCGCGGCCUAUCAGCUUGUUGGUGGGGUGAUGGCCUACCAAGGCGGUGACGGGUAGCCGGCCUGAGAGGGUGGACGGUCACACUGGGACUGAGACACGGCCCAGACUCCUACGGGAGGCAGCAGUGGGGAAUAUUGCACAAUGGGCGCAAGGCUGAUGCAGCGACGCCGCGUGAGGGAUGGAGGCCUUCGGGUUGUGAACCUCUUUCGCCAGUGAAGCAGGCCUGCCUCGUUUGUGGGUGGGUUGACGGUAGCUGGAUAAGAAGCGCCGGCUAACUACGUG
Molecule: ribosomal RNA, 493 nt
Filed under: uncultured bacterium
Lineage: Bacteria
Description: partial 16S ribosomal RNA
Rfam family: Bacterial small subunit ribosomal RNA
Source: RNAcentral